CCCCUACCAGGUACUUGUCGCGGUGCUUGGAUUGCAGCACGUGAGCCAGCUCGCGCAGGUGGCCACGGUGUCUCUGCUCGUCGGGCCGUGCGGGGAAGGCGGCGGCCAGGAUGCGCUCCGUCACGUAGGAGACUUUUGCGUACCACCUGUUCCCGCCUCAAAGGACUGACAACUGAGAUAUCCAUGUCAAGCUCAAACACUGCCACCCCCACCCCCAGCAGCUCCAGUCAGCCCAUACAUCACCCUGCUUUGGGGUUGGAGUCCCUCCCACUCCCUAGGAGACUUAUAUUAAGAAAAUCUGCCUCACAUUAAACUCAAGUCCCUGGCUUC
Molecule: long non-coding RNA, 330 nt
Organism: Manis pentadactyla (Chinese pangolin)
Lineage: Eukaryota; Metazoa; Chordata; Mammalia; Pholidota; Manidae
Exons: 2
Source: RefSeq, a predicted model, not a curated record